GCCCUUUGUGGCUCACAUCUCCCAGUCUAGACUCUAGAUGAGAAGCCAGUUGAUGAAAUCCAUCUUUUCUGUCUCUCCUUCUCUCUCCCCUUCCCUCUCUCCCUCUCUCUCUCAUUUUCUCUGUCUCUCCCUCUUUGUCUGUUUCUACCUCUCCUUCUCUCUCUCUCACUAUCUCUCUCUCCUUCUGUCUCUUUCUCCCUAUCAUUUUCUCUCUCUCUCCUCUCUCUACCUCUGUCUCUCCCUCUCCUUCUCUCACUAUCUCUCUCUUCUCACUGUCUUUCUCCCUCUCCUCUAUUUCUCUUCUGUCUCUUUCUCACUCUCCUCUCUAUCUCUCUCUCCUUCUCUCUGUCUCUUUCUCCCUCUCUCAUUUUCUCUCUCUCCUUCUCUCUGUGUCUCUCCCUCUCCUUCUCUCACUAUCUCUCUCUUCUCUGCCUCUUUCUCCCUCUCCUCUCUAUCUUCUCUUCUCUCUUUCUCCCUCUCCUCUCACUAUCUCUCUCUCCCUCUUUCUCUCCCUCUCCUCUCUCACUAUCUCUCUCACUCUAUUUCUCCCUCUUCUCUCUGUCUCUCCCUCUCCUUCUCUCUCUCCUUCCUCUCUCACACUCUCUCUCUCCCACUAUCUCUCUCACUCUUUCUCCCUCUUCUUUCUCUCUCUCUGUCUCUCCCUCUCUGUGUGUCUGUCUCUCCCUCUCCUUCUCUCUCUCCUUCCUCUCUCCCACUCUCUCCCACUAUCUCUCUCACUCUGUCUCUUUCUCCCUCUUCUUUUUCUCUCUCCUUCUCUCUCUCUGUCUCUCCCUCUCUGUGUCUCUGUCUCUCCCUCUCCUUCUCUGUCUCUCCCUCCUCUCUCCCACUCUCUGUGUCUCUCCCACUCUCUCUCACUCUCUUUCUCCCUCUCCUUCUCUCUCUCUCACUAUCUCUCUCUCCUUCUCUGUCUCUCCCUCUCUGUCUCUGUCUCUCCCUCUCCUUCUCUCUCUCUCCCUCCUCUCUCCCUCUCUCUGUGUCUCUCCCUCUCCUCUCUCUCACUAUCUCGCUCACUCUCUCUGUCUCUGUCUCAGAUCUCUGUGUGAAGAGCUGGGGUCCCCCCACCAAAUAUGGAUUGAGUUCUCCUGAAUCCCCCAGCCCUAAGAGCCUUCUAUACCAUUUGGUCUUGAACUGCUCCAAUGGUGGGGAGGUGUAGCCGCUGGGGACAAGGCAGAGCCAUCUGGUAAAGUGAACUGGGGGGCAACA
This 1224-nucleotide long non-coding RNA is filed under the name Monodelphis domestica (gray short-tailed opossum). RNAcentral's name for it is "lncRNA (ENSMODG00000043946.1)". Lineage: Eukaryota; Metazoa; Chordata; Mammalia; Didelphimorphia; Didelphidae. The record is from RNAcentral.